ACCCGCACAAGCGGUGGAUGAUGUGGUUUAAUUCGAUGCAACGCGAAGAACCUUACCAGGGUUUGACAUGCUGGUGGUAGAAACCUGAAAGGGUGACGACCUUCGGUUUUCCGAGGGAGCCAGCACAGGUGCUGCAUGGUUGUCGUCAGCUCGUGUCGUGAGAUGUUGGGUUAAGUCCCGCAACGAGCGCAACCCUUACCCUUAGUUGCGUACCAGGUAAUGCUUGAGCACUCUAAGGGGACUGCCGGUGACAAACCGGAGGAAGGUGGGGAUGACGUCAAAUCCGCAUGGCCCUUAUGUCCUGGGCGACACACGUGCUACAAUGGCCAGUACAGAGGGUUGCGAACCCGCGAGGGGGAGCCAAUCCCAAAAAGCUGGCCCCAGUUGGGAUUGCAGGCUGCAACUCGCCUGCAUGAACGCGGAAUCGCUAGUAAUCGCGUAUCAGCUACGGCGCGGUGAAUGCGUUCCCGGGCCUU
RNAcentral lists this ribosomal RNA (476 nucleotides) under uncultured Atribacterota bacterium. Its description in RNAcentral is "bacterial SSU rRNA". It matches the Rfam family "Bacterial small subunit ribosomal RNA", at positions 919 to 1382 of the family's 1533-position model. The record is from RNAcentral. Lineage: Bacteria; Pseudomonadati; Atribacterota.